UUACCUCACCAAUAAUUGACAUAUCUUCAUUUGCUUAGCUUUGACGCAAGGACUUUUGUGCUCUAGGAAUGUAAGAAGUCCAUUUUGCUAAGCUCACCGGAAGGUGGAGUUAAUUGGAGGCGUGGUCAACCACCUUAAAAGUCAUCGAAGUCAGCUCGAAGACGCUUAGAAACUUGCCAAGAAAAUGAGGUGGUUUUGGACAUUAUGUGGCUUGGUGUAAUCGUUUAAGUGAUCGAUGGUCCAAAACUUCAAAGGUUUUGGACAUUAUGUGGCUUGGCCUUCUCCUCCUAGUUGAAUUCAAUUUGUUUAAGUUUUUAAGUUGAAUUGGUUUCUAACAUGCAUACGGACACCUUCUCCAUCUAGUUAGAUUCGAACUUCUCAUUUCUUCUCAACACAACACAAGCAUGUCAUACUAAUUCCUCUAAAACCAAAUUUUAACAAUUAACACAGUGAGCCGAUAAAUGGUUUGAAUCUAUUUUCCAAAAAACAAAAAGGUUAGAGUUUUCUGACUCCUUGCUUCUAGCAAAAGAGAAGUACCAUGAGAAAAUUCAGUUCUUUGCGCUAGAGGUUAAACGGAAGAUAAUAUAACCAUCUUUGAGAGAAUCUAAAUCUUAAUCUUAAUUAAGAAAUCAUGGCAUUAUUAUAAUGAGAAAGAGAAAAAGAAAAAAAACUUAUUAAGUAUAUAAUUCUAUAUAUUUGACUUGCAUUUCAUGAGGCUACAAUUUUUGUCCCAUCAUUCGUAACGUAAUUUUAUAUAUGCUUGUCUAGGGAUUUUAUCAACCCAUUUAUUUAUAGUAAUACCCAAUUAUCCACUUGCUAGGCAGCAAGAUUGGUGCAACUCCUGAAUUUGUUGCCAAAUAUGGUGAUAGAUCGACUGAUUGUGAAGUUGCCAAGCACUUUCUAUGCAUUUUAGAGGAGUUUUGAAGCACUUUCAUUAUGAUAUAGAUGCUUCUUAAAAUUAACUACCUAGUUGUGGACUUCCUUGGGAAUGAAGGAAUGAAGGAAGAAAGUAGUUGGACCCUAUCAAUAUCAUUAGUCUAAAAGUACCCUAACAUUGUUUUGGAUAACCUAGCCAUUUACGUAUGGGCCUAACCUAGCCAAUUACUAUGUCUUGAAUUUAAUCAUACAGUCUAAAUUUAUAUUUCUGGCCAGCUCGGGUCAAGCCCUAAUCUAAACUCAAGCUCAAGAAUACAACAAUCUACUACACACAUGUACGGCUGGACCCAACGAGCAUGUAAGGUAACAACCUAUCGAAUAAAAACAUAAUAAUCGAUACUUCAAAAUCAACCUAAAACAAACUAAUUGGGAGUUAAAUAGUGGCUUUCUAUCGAUCCACCCUUUUAUACAUAAUUAAUUCUAGAUACUUAUAACUCCCAAAAAUUAUUAAUUUAGGUUUAACAAGUAACUCAUCCCACUUCUAAUAUCCCAUAUUUUAGAAACUAAUUUUAUAUCUAAGUAGUGCAAUAAUUAAUCGAAAUCAGGGCUUUAUAAUCUGCCCUGCUUUAUAGAGCUAUAAUAAUAUAGCGAUUUACCAUACUACCCUUAUAAAAUUAUACUUAAAACUUUUUGGAUCCAAGAAAAAGUAUAAUUAGUACAAUCUCAUUAAAC
RNAcentral lists this long non-coding RNA (1608 nucleotides) under Phoenix dactylifera (date palm). RNAcentral's name for it is "long non-coding RNA (PDAC_LNC014284)". The record is from RNAcentral. Lineage: Eukaryota; Viridiplantae; Streptophyta; Magnoliopsida; Arecales; Arecaceae.